Non-coding RNA from Schizosaccharomyces pombe (fission yeast), 742 nucleotides. The record is from the annotation of a GenBank genome assembly. NCBI's taxonomy places the organism in Eukaryota, Fungi, Ascomycota, Schizosaccharomycetes, Schizosaccharomycetales, Schizosaccharomycetaceae.
UAUUAGAGCUAAAAUCAAAGUCGGACCAUACCGAAUUCUGCGAGUAAUGGCAGAAGAAUACAAUAAUGUAGCAAAAGUAUAGCAAAAUCGUCGUUUAUUUAACGGAAAAAGGAAAUAUGCCUAGCCAGAAAACACAGAUAUGUAAAGCCCAAGAAGUGUGUGAUUGACAGAAUGAAUGAAGAAGCACAAAAGCUAGGAUGAAAACAACAAAUAGCAAAUAUCUUUGCAAAUAUGAGGGAUCGUUAAAGAAAGCUAAGACAUUGUUUACUGUUGUAAACUAGCUGUAUUAAGGAAAUUUCGGAAAAGGAAAGAAAACCAGGGGUUAAAUUACAGUACCAAACACUUUGACUUUUUCUUGUGAGGAACAGGAGGAUCAAGAGCGGCUACAAUAGCUUCAUCAAAAACAUUCUUUAACCCUUUUUGGGUCAAAGCGGAACACUCAACAUACUUGACAGCACCCAACUCACGAGCUAAUCGUUCACCUUGCUCAUGUGUAAGGGGAUGCUGAUGCUGGCGAGCUAGUUUCUGUUGCACAGAAGGGUCAUCACGUAAAUCAAUUUGGGUACCAACAAUUAAGCACGGGACGCCCGGACAAUGAUGAUGAACUUCGGGAAACCACUUUUCUUUCACAUUUUCAAAACUGGCAGGAGAAGUUACACUAAAACAAACCAAAAAGACGUCUGUUUGAGGAUAGGAUAAAGGACGCAAGCGAUCAUAAUCCUCCUGACCAGCGGUAUCGAAU